UUCUUCAUUUAAACUUAACUUUAAUUCAACAUCGAGGUCGCAAACAUUUUUAUUAAUAUGAUCUUUCCAAAAAUAUUACNCUGUUAUCCCUAAGGUAAUUAAUUUUACUAUUAAUUUAACUAUCAUUCAAUAUUUAACUAUUUUGUAUCAAUCAAACCUAAAUUAAAUUAUUCAUAUAAUAA
RNAcentral lists this ribosomal RNA (182 nucleotides) under Myrmelachista sp. MC-1995. Its description in RNAcentral is "partial 16S ribosomal RNA". Lineage: Eukaryota; Metazoa; Arthropoda; Insecta; Hymenoptera; Formicidae. The record is from RNAcentral.